CUAUGUGUGGAAGAAAAUGCCUGGCUUUAAAGGGUUUGAGUUGUAUCUUUUGCACGAAAAAAUGAUUGAUCUUCUUUCACAAUAUCAACCAUUGAAUUGUACAUUGCACAUAUCUCAAAGCAUGCCAAUUUUUUAUGCCAUCCGUCUAUAUAGAUCUCAAAGUAGUCCUUGCGUGAUUCAAUGGUUGAUAUCACGAAAGAAGGUGAAUCAUUCUUUCAUGCGAAAGAUACAAUCCAAACUUGACUCUACAGGAACAAAUAGAUGGUUACACCUAUUUAUGGCACGUCUCUGUUACAUAGAAAAAUUAGAUGA
This 312-nucleotide long non-coding RNA is filed under the name Elaeis guineensis (African oil palm). RNAcentral's name for it is "long non-coding RNA (EGUI_LNC036091)". The record is from RNAcentral. Lineage: Eukaryota; Viridiplantae; Streptophyta; Magnoliopsida; Arecales; Arecaceae.